This 273-nucleotide long non-coding RNA is filed under the name Elaeis guineensis (African oil palm). RNAcentral's name for it is "long non-coding RNA (EGUI_LNC016793)". The record is from RNAcentral. Lineage: Eukaryota; Viridiplantae; Streptophyta; Magnoliopsida; Arecales; Arecaceae.
AUCCAUGAGUAGCAGACGAUUGUCCUAGGACGUGGGGGUGAGAUCCAAAAACUCUCAAAAUUAAAUAGAAGUCGAAUAUCGAGUCAAGAUGGAGAUUGUUGAAAAAAAUACUUCAAAUUCGAUCCACAGGAGUGAAAAUCCAAAUGCGGAGAAGCUCAGCUCGAAGAACACAUCGUGAGGAGCCUAGAAAUAUAGAGCAGUGGGGCCUGUAGUGCAUGGAGCAACGAGGCCCACGACGCGCAAGCCAGAAGAUGGGAAAAAGGGGCCUAGGCC